RNAcentral lists this long non-coding RNA (212 nucleotides) under Helianthus annuus (common sunflower). Its description in RNAcentral is "hypothetical non coding rna". Lineage: Eukaryota; Viridiplantae; Streptophyta; Magnoliopsida; Asterales; Asteraceae. The record is from RNAcentral.
UCAUAUUCAAUCUUUCUCUCAUCUUCAUCGCCCAGAUCCAAAUUUCUCUCUCACCUUCAUCGCCCAGAUCGAAGAAGUAUUCUCCAAAAGAUUGUCAAGUUCAGAAGUUUACAUCGAAUACUCAUCUGGAUUUUUUUUUGUAUUGAAUGUGUAAGGAGAUGUCGUUAACGAGAAAAGUGGAGAUGGAAGGUCGAUAAGGAUGAUUCACGUAU